RNAcentral lists this ribosomal RNA (119 nucleotides) under Pteropus alecto (black flying fox). Lineage: Eukaryota; Metazoa; Chordata; Mammalia; Chiroptera; Pteropodidae. The record is from RNAcentral.
GUCUACGGCCAUGCCACCCUGAACGUGCCCGAUCUCGUCUGAUCUCGGAAGCUAAGCAGGGUCGGGCCUGGUUAGUACUUGGAUGGGAGACCACCUAGGAAGACCAGGUGCUAUAGGCA